UGAGGAAUCUUGCGCAAUGGGGGAAACCCUGACGCAGCAACGCCGCGUGAGUGAGGAAGGUCUUCGGAUCGUAAAGCUCUGUCAGUUGGAAAGAAAUGUCUGAGAGUCAAUACCUUUCAGGCUUGACGGUACCAACAGAGGAAGCACCGGCUAACUCCGUGCCAGCAGCCGCGGUAAUACGGGGGGUGCAAGCGUUGUUCGGAAUUAUUGGGCGUAAAGAGCGUGUAGGCGGCCGGAUAUGUCAGAUGUGAAAGCCCCGGGCUUAACCCGGGAAGUGCAUUUGAAACUGUCCGGCUCGAGUAGGGGAGAGGGAAGUGGAAUUCCUGGUGUAGAGGUGAAAUUCGUAGAUAUCAGGAGGAACACCGGUGGCGAAGGCGACUUCCUGGCCCUAUACUGACGCUGAGACGCGAGAGCGUGGGUAGCAAACAG
This 429-nucleotide ribosomal RNA is filed under the name uncultured bacterium. RNAcentral's name for it is "bacterial SSU rRNA". It matches the Rfam family "Bacterial small subunit ribosomal RNA", at positions 355 to 775 of the family's 1533-position model. The record is from RNAcentral.